GAACUACUCCCUCCGUCCCAAAAUUCUUGUCUUAGGUUUGUCUAGAUAUGAAUAUAUCUAGUCAAGUUUUAGUAUUUAGAUACAUCCAUUUCUAAACAAAUUUAAGACAAGAAUUUUGAGACGGAGGUAGUACAAA
Hordeum vulgare subsp. vulgare (domesticated barley) is the source of this 136-nucleotide non-coding RNA. The record is from Rfam. NCBI's taxonomy places the organism in Eukaryota, Viridiplantae, Streptophyta, Magnoliopsida, Poales, Poaceae.